AAUUGUCGGAGGAGAUUGUGCUGAAAGCUGUUUUACUUCUCAAACAUAUCCGUGGGAUUUUUUUCCACCGAUAUUGUUCAGACUUGUCUGCAGGCUUUAGUGUCAAGAAUUCUUACGGCAAUACGCGUUCACAGAAUUCAAAAUUAUUUGAAAACGUUGCAUCCACCGCUGCAGGCAGACCGCAUAGAAUUUACGAGAAUUUAGUAAAAGAUCCUCUCGCUCUGCAGAUAUAAAGCUCAGCAGAGAGUGUUGUCUUUGAGAAAUUUGGAAAAGCCUAACGGAAUUAAGAAAGAAAGAUAUGCCUCUCAGACAAGUUGUCUGGCCCCGGUUUGUCCCAGCGCACCACAAACCAGCCGUAUAUGCCGGUUCGGCUGGUGAAAACGAAGCUCCCGUCCUGAUUGGAACCUGCAGACGAUAUUCAUGAAUAAUGCCACUAUGAUCUACUUUCUGCUGUCCAACGGAGGAAAAGCUAAUGGAAAUGAGACCGCCCAUGUCUUGGCCGAGAGAUGCUUUAAGCUGUUUGAAGUCCUUAGAGCCCUUUGAACUGGUGGACGAUGAGGAAGAUUCGAUCAUUCCUCCUGAAAUGAAAAUGCUGCCAGGUCUUAAUGAUGACCAAAAAACUUUAGCCACAAAUGCUCCUAAGCAGCUGCAUGGAAACAUCUUGUAUGGUCUGGCACAAGGAAAUGGAUAUCGUCCACCAGCUGGACUCGCUCAACGGAAGGCCGACUGCGGGUGAUAUUCUUGGAAACAAACUUUCUUAACGGAGCCGGAACUGGAGCUGUUGGAGCUCCAGCUGAUGGGGAGCAGGAUGGGGCCGACAACGGAACUCCUAAGCUGCAAGUUGACCAGGCGUAUGCCACCAUGAUUGACAACGCCGACUUGCCUUUGGCCAAUAAUCAGGAGGAUGAGGCCGCCAGUGGAGCUCCUCAGCUGCAAGUUGCCGAGGCGAAUGGUACGAUUUGCAGUAAUAAUCCAUAGAUGCAUUUAUGCAUGUUUUUGUUAUCAGUAAAAAAAAUUGCUAUUCACCCACAAUGUUAUAAUUUAAUAUACACAUCAAUAAAAAUAAUUAUAAUCCAUUCCCAUGCUUGCAGCUGCCAUGACCAAAAACGGCACUGUAUGUGUGGGUUACCACUGAAUUAUCUAAUUUAUUUUAUCUUAACUUAUUUUUAUUACAAUGUAUACAACUUAACAAUAAAAAUAAUUUAAAGUAUUGGAAAAGCAGAGCAUAAUUAAUAUAGUCCUAGAAUAUUAUGAAAAACCCCUAAUUAAAUCUCCU
Neocloeon triangulifer is the source of this 1276-nucleotide long non-coding RNA. RefSeq lists it as uncharacterized. The transcript has 5 exons. Lineage: Eukaryota; Metazoa; Arthropoda; Insecta; Ephemeroptera; Baetidae. The record is from RefSeq and is a predicted model, not a curated record.